CCUACGGGAGGCUGCAGUCGAGAAUCAUUCACAAUGGGGGAAACCCUGAUGGUGCGACGCCGCGUGGGGGAAUGAAGGUCUUCGGAUUGUAAACCCCUGUCAUGUGGGAGCAAAUUAAAAAGAUAGUACCACAAGAGGAAGAGACGGCUAACUCUGUGCCAGCAGCCGCGGUAAUACAGAAGUCUCAAGCGUUGUUCGGAAUCACUGGGCGUAAGGCGUGCGUAGGCUGUUUCGUAAGUCGUGUGUGAAAGGCGCGGGCUCAACCCCGGGACGGCACAUGAUACUGCGAGACUAGAGUAAUGGAGGGGGAACCGGAAUUCUCGGUGGAGCAGUGAAAUGCGUAGAUAUCGAGAGGAACACUCGUGGCGAAGGCGGGUUCCUGGACAUUAACUGACGCUGAGGCACGAAGGCCAGGGGAGCGAAAGGGAUUAGAUACCCUUGUAGUC
This 446-nucleotide ribosomal RNA is filed under the name uncultured bacterium. Its description in RNAcentral is "partial 16S ribosomal RNA". It matches the Rfam family "Bacterial small subunit ribosomal RNA", at positions 338 to 795 of the family's 1533-position model. The record is from RNAcentral.